AUAAUAAUAGGAACCCAGGCAGUAGCAUCGUUUCACAAUGUUUCCAUCAUCAUCAUCAGUGGAUGCCUUUGCCGUCCGUAGCCUGAGAUUUCAGAUUUGCAGCAAAAAAAAUGAUUUUCUCAUUUAUUGGAAUGCUGUGCAGGUAUUUGUACCUUGCAGCCAUCCAUUACAAUGUCACCAAGCCGUAACAAAAGCAGGAGAGGGAAAGUACAAGGCUAUGUUCCCAAAACACACAAGUGACAUACCUUAUGUGGAUGAUGUGAUCAGGCUUGUGUUUGCUGAGGUAUUUGAAGAUAAGCUGAAGGAAACCCCGAUUCCAAUGGACCUGGCAUCACAGUUUGAGAGACCUUCAAAGGAGGACGUGAUUGGAUGCCAUCUUCAGUGC
Molecule: long non-coding RNA, 385 nt
Organism: Paramisgurnus dabryanus
Lineage: Eukaryota; Metazoa; Chordata; Actinopteri; Cypriniformes; Cobitidae
Source: RefSeq, a predicted model, not a curated record